UACGUACCGGAUUAUCAAGAAAAUGGUACUCUGACCCCCUAAUUCCGUUCCGCCCCUAAUACAGGCCCUUACCAGACCUUACCGGCCAUCUCGGACAAUACCGGCCGAGAUGGUGGUAAUGGAAAUUUCGGGCAGUAUUUUGCUAAACUGGUCCAGAAUCCAGAUGACAACCAGAGAGAGAGAGAGAGCCAGCCCUACUUGUUUCCAUGACUGUGAGAGCGGGAGAGACCGAGAGAGGUGAACUCAGCACUUGAAUUGGAAGUCGGGCAGCAGCAGAAAUUGACAGGAGGAAGAAGGCUUAUAAAGGUGUGAAGCCCUAAAAUUACAAAAGUACUUAAUUACCCCUUACUUUACUUUUGAAAUGGUUGACCGUGGGCCUUCUUCAAAAAAGGCAAAAGUGGUUAAUUGAAAAAGGUUUUUUCUUCUUUUCUUUUUCUUUUUUUAUUUUUGUGAGCCCAAAAUUGUUUACGGGAAUAAAAUUUUAACUCUCAAGUUUUGAUAGUUAUGGGAGUGUUCAACCUCUUCUCUUUUUUUUUAAUGGAUUUACUAGAUGAGAGUUAUGUGACAGUUUAAAAAAAAAUGUUAUGAUGAAUUGAAUGUCAUGAGAAAAAUAAUGAAUUUAUAACUAUAUAUUGGUAAUUGCGCUAAAUCCGAAACGGUACCGGUAUUUGACCGGUACCAGUACCGUACCGUACCAGUACGAAAACCGGUACUCGUACCGGUACGGUAUUCAGAACUUUGCACUAGACAGGUCCAAACCAAUUUUCACAACAAGGCAGAAUGUUUGUUGACAGAUCCAGCAAAAACUCUGUACCGGUCCACAGAAUAUUCCGAACUACAUUGUUGACUUAGUCUUCUAGGUAUGGUUGUGUAAACACCCCAAUCUAGGCUUCCAGAUUAGUUUACUUUCGGUUUUUGAUUCCCCGAUGAUGAAACGGAUCAAGAACACCCCGGGAAUGAUAAGUGUUUGAGCUUUGAGCGUUUGACACCCUUUUAAACCUAACCAAAUCGGAGCCACUUCAAAAGCCAAAAACCCUACUGGCAUGCGUUGGUUGAGAGCUCGUGCGCGCAGAUCAACUUGACAGGUGUUGGUCAAUGGUCAAAGCUUGACCGUUGACCAACACGUGAGUAGGUGGUACACACGCACGACAAAAUGACACCAGCGCGCGCUGGUCAAACUGCCAGGUGGUGGUCAACAGUCAAAGUUUGACCGUUGACCCUUGCGCCAAGGCGCAAUCCUCGCGCGCCAGACUGACUCCAUCGCGCGCCGGAGCGCAAUGCCUGUUCCCACCAACUUUUCUUGAGGUGGAAACUUGGCCACCAAUGCAACCUCAGCCAGCCUCGUGGACUGGCUGAAUCCCUCUCUUUGCAGCCCAUAUCUACCUCUCUCUCUCCCUAUAAAUACCCCCUUUGUUCAUCCAUUUGAAGGGUUCAAGGGUUCCAAAAAAUACCAAGUAUCAAGUUCCAAGUGAUACAAAGCCCUAACCCUAAUUCCAAGCAACACAAGCAACCUUAUUUUCUCGCUUCUAUCACUCAUACUCCUUCAAGAACAUAGCUUGUUCUUCCACCCCAAUCAACCUCACACUCAAAGCUCAAGUACAUUUCAAACCCAAAAACCAAAGAUAUAGCUUACCUUUGUUCUGCUCUCUGUUCUGAUCCCCGAGGGGGGCUGGCAGGGUCAAGGCUAGUAAUCAAUACCAGUCCUGGCCCUAAAGCUGGCAAGGUUUCAAAAACCGUCAUGGUAGGACCAGCGCGCGACAGUCCCACUCUCGCGCACGACACUCCGUUGCUGCACAUUGGUUUCCUACUGUUCUAUGUCUUCUUGUACAUUUAGAUCACUAUCACUGUUAAGCAUGAAAAUAAUCAGUUUAUUGCUUUCCUUUGUUAGAAAUGCUAGUUGUAGUUCAAUAUGUAUUUCUGCUGUUAUGGAGUACCACUGGGACCUUUCUGAACAUACCUCAGACCCCAGAAACGUGUAAACCAAGCACUAGUCUGAUUCAGUCCCGCUCGCGCCAGGGCGCGACAAUCACAUGCCAGAGCUCAACCAUCGCGCGCCAGACUGCCUCUGACCAGUGAGUGGCCUUGCACGGGUAACUUGGCCUUAGGCCGUUAUUUUGUCCCCACACUGUUUAUGGGGUGUUUUGUUAAAUUAUAGGGCUUUUCAGCCUUUUAACUGUAUAUUAUAACUGCUUAUCAACUGCUUGGUCUGUCCUGAGUGUGCACUGGUCCUUCCAGAGCCCAGAAGAAGGUAAAAACAGAGGCUGUGAGCAAAGCAAACUCACACGCGCUUGUGUGGUAUUCAAGCGCGCAGGUUGUAAUCACAUGCAGUGAUCCGCGUGGAUUGGAUCAGUGCAUGUAGAUUCCUUCUUGUACAAGUCAAUUCAAUACAGUGCGUCAGGUUUGCUCUGUUAAACAGAACCUGGCCUUUACCCUAUUUACUAACUGCUCAUCCAUACUAUCUAUCACAUCCUGCAAACAUGUUAC
Rhododendron vialii is the source of this 2484-nucleotide long non-coding RNA. RefSeq lists it as uncharacterized. The record is from RefSeq and is a predicted model, not a curated record. The transcript is spliced from 2 exons. NCBI's taxonomy places the organism in Eukaryota, Viridiplantae, Streptophyta, Magnoliopsida, Ericales, Ericaceae.